Long non-coding RNA from Sinocyclocheilus rhinocerous, 212 nucleotides. RefSeq lists it as uncharacterized. NCBI's taxonomy places the organism in Eukaryota, Metazoa, Chordata, Actinopteri, Cypriniformes, Cyprinidae. The record is from RefSeq and is a predicted model, not a curated record. The transcript is spliced from 3 exons.
UUUUAUACAUUUUCUUGAAUUUGCAGAGUGAAUUACAUAAUUUUAAUUCCUUAUCACAAUUAUUCCAUAGAUUUACCCCUUUAACAGAUAAACACCUACUUUUUGCAUUAGUUCUUGCCCUUACUUUUUUUAAACAUACAAUCCUCUUAGAUUAUACUGACUUUCUCUUAUUUUGAACAGCCUCUGAAUACAAUUUGAUCAAAUUAUAUACU